AUGCGGGCCAACAUUUUACUACUCCCUACUCCACUGCCAACAAAAGCUCCACUGCCAUUGUCUGCAAUGGCGUCUCGGCCUUUCCCACGGGAGUCCCGGCCUCCUAGCUCUAGCUCUCUCUCCGCCUCCGUUCAAAUGGGAUCCUCGCCUGCGCCUUCGCCUUCGCCUUCGACUUCGCCGCCGAUGCCGAUGAUAGGGAGGGCCGGCAACCUCACCGUCUUCAUCACGCCGCCGUCGCCGGCCAGCACCCCGCGCUCCUCGCGCCCGUCCGACUCCCCAAGGCCGGACUUCUCCACCCCUACCUCCCGCACGGGUACGGCACCGCCUCCGGCGCAGAAGAGCGCUAGCCCGCCCGCGCCGCCGGUCAAGUUCUCGCCCCCUGCACCGCCCGUGAAGGUGUCCCCAGUGCAGGUGCCCCCGCCGCAGUACGGAAAGGCUUCUGCGGGGGGCAAGCACGACGGAUCGGCGUUCGGCUUCUUAUGGGACGCCGUCGCGCGCGUGCAGGAAGCGCACGCGAGCCUGGACGAGUACGUCGCCAACUGGUUCGGAUUGGAUCAGUCUAAGUACCAGUGGGCUCUCAACGACUACUACGAUACCACCGGCAAGGAAGUGGAAUAUGGCAAAGCUGGGAAGCCAAAGGAGCUUACUACUACUACUACUACUACUAAUAAUAAUAAAGUGCAGAAAGUUUAG
Molecule: ribosomal RNA, 693 nt
Filed under: Triticum aestivum (bread wheat)
Lineage: Eukaryota; Viridiplantae; Streptophyta; Magnoliopsida; Poales; Poaceae
Description: partial small subunit ribosomal RNA
Source: RNAcentral